RNAcentral lists this ribosomal RNA (433 nucleotides) under uncultured bacterium. RNAcentral's name for it is "partial 16S ribosomal RNA". It matches the Rfam family "Bacterial small subunit ribosomal RNA", at positions 29 to 507 of the family's 1533-position model. The record is from RNAcentral.
AACGAACGCUGGCGGCAUGCCUAACACAUGCAAGUCGAACGAGACCUCCGGGUCUAGUGGCGCACGGGUGCGUAACGCGUGGGAACCUGCCCUUAGGCUCGGAAUAACUCCCCGAAAGGGGUGCUAAUACCGGAUAAUGUCUUCGGACCAAAGAUUUAUCGCCUUUGGAUGGGCCCGCGUUGGAUUAGCUAGUUGGUAUGGUAAAAGCCUACCAAGGCGACGAUACAUAGCUGGUCAGAGAGGCUGAGCAGCCACACUGGGACUGAGACACGGUCCAGAAUACUACGGGAGGCGGCAGUGGGGAAUAUUGGAAAAUGGGCGAAAGGAUGAACGAGCAAGGCCGGGUGAGUGAUGAAGGCCUUAGGGUUGUAAAGCUCUUUUACCCGGGAUGAUAAUGACAGUACCGGGAGAAUAAGCUCCGGCUAACUCCGUG